Molecule: ribosomal RNA, 447 nt
Filed under: uncultured bacterium
Lineage: Bacteria
Description: bacterial SSU rRNA
Rfam family: Bacterial small subunit ribosomal RNA
Source: RNAcentral
UCCAGACUCCUACGGGAGGCAGCAGUGGGGAAUAUUGGACAAUGGGGGGAACCCUGAUCCAGCGACGCCGCGUGAGUGAAGAAGUAUUUCGGUAUGUAAAGCUCUAUCAGCAGGGAAGAAAAUGACGGUACCUGACUAAGAAGCCCCGGCUAACUACGUGCCAGCAGCCGCGGUAAUACGUAGGGGGCAAGCGUUAUCCGGAUUUACUGGGUGUAAAGGGAGCGUAGACGGUGCAGCAAGUCUGAUGUGAAAGGUCGGGGCCCAACCCCGGGACUGCAUUGGAAACUGCCGCACUAGAGUGCCGGAGAGGUAAGUGGAAUUCCUAGUGUAGCGGUGAAAUGCGUAGAUAUUAGGAGGAACACCAGUGGCGAAGGCGGCUUACUGGACGGUAACUGACGCUGAGGCUCGAAAGCGUGGGGAGCAAACAGGAUUAGAUACCCCCGUAAA